Long non-coding RNA from Populus nigra (black poplar), 539 nucleotides. RefSeq lists it as uncharacterized. The transcript has 2 exons. The record is from RefSeq and is a predicted model, not a curated record. Lineage: Eukaryota; Viridiplantae; Streptophyta; Magnoliopsida; Malpighiales; Salicaceae.
UGAAGGGUUGUUUUUUAAAGUAUUUUUUAUUAAUAUAACAUGAACCUUAAAAAUUUUCUCCCUUUCCCAUUGAAAACAGCCGCCAGCCGUUCCUUCUCUCUCGUUCCACCUCUCUGUGUCCUUUACAGAUUACCUCCUCUGUCAUCUCCCCGUCUUCCACUGCCUUCUCUCUCUCGUUAUCUUCUUUUCAUCGAAGACCCAUUCUAAUCCAUUGGCGCCAUUGCAUGUGAUUCACUCCACCACAACAUCUCCUGCUACAAUCAUCAAACAGGAGUAGUACUGCUGUUGCUGGAUUUUGUGGAUGCUGAUGUUCCUGGAAUUUGCACAUCCUAUAUAAUGUGAAUGUUUCGGUUAAAUUUAUGCUAAUUUGGAUUUAAAGAUAGUGAUUUGUUUGGAGUUUGAAAUAUGUAAUAAGUAAUUUGUUAUUUAUAAAUUUCUAGUGUGAAUAUUCAACACCUCACACUAAAGAGUUUAGACAAACAACAAGACGAUCAAUUAACGAAUUAUGUUGAAUGAAUUUGCAUCUACCUUCAAUUUAA